UGGGGAAUAUUGCACAAUGGGGGAAACCCUGAUGCAGCGACGCCGCGUGAGCGAAGAAGGUUUUCGAAUCGUAAAGCUCUGUCCUAUGAGAAGAUAAUGACGGUAUCAUAGGAGGAAGCCCCGGCUAAAUACGUGCCAGCAGCCGCGGUAAUACGUAUGGGGCGAGCGUUGUCCGGAAUUAUUGGGCGUAAAGGGUACGUAGGCGGUCUAUUAAGUCAGGUGUGAAAGCGUGAGGCUUAACCUCAUUAAGCACUUGAAACUGAUAGACUUGAGUGGAGGAGAGGAAAGUGGAAUUCCUAGUGUAGCGGUGAAAUGCGUAGAUAUUAGGAGGAAUACCGGUGGCGAAGGCGACUUUCUGGUCUUUUACUGACGCUCAGGUACGAAGGCGUGGGGAGCAAACAGG
Molecule: ribosomal RNA, 403 nt
Filed under: Verrucomicrobiota bacterium
Lineage: Bacteria; Pseudomonadati; Verrucomicrobiota
Description: Verrucomicrobia bacterium partial 16S ribosomal RNA
Rfam family: Bacterial small subunit ribosomal RNA
Source: RNAcentral